This 862-nucleotide ribosomal RNA is filed under the name uncultured bacterium. RNAcentral describes it as "bacterial SSU rRNA". It matches the Rfam family "Bacterial small subunit ribosomal RNA", at positions 630 to 1503 of the family's 1533-position model. The record is from RNAcentral.
AAACUUUUCAGCUAGAGUAUGAUAGAGGAAAGCAGAAUUUCUAGUGUAGAGGUGAAAUUCGUAGAUAUUAGAAAGAAUACCAAUUGCGAAGGCAGCUUUCUGGAUCAUUACUGACACUGAGGAACGAAAGCAUGGGUAGCGAAGAGGAUUAGAUACCCUCGUAGUCCAUGCCGUAAACGAUGUGUGUUAGACGUUGGAAAUUUAUUUUCAGUGUCGCAGCGAAAGCGAUAAACACACCGCCUGGGGAGUACGACCGCAAGGUUAAAACUCAAAUGAAUUGACGGGGACCCGCACAAGUAGUGGAGCAUGUGGUUUAAUUCGAAGAUACGCGCAGAACCUUACCAACACUUGACAUGUUCGUCGCGACUCUAAGAGAUUAGAGUUUUCGGUUCGGCCGGACGAAACACAGGUGCUGCAUGGCUGUCGUCAGCUCGUGUCGUGAGAUGUUGGGUUAAGUCCCGCAACGAGCGCAACCCUCACUUUUAGUUGCCAUCAUUAAGUUGGGCACUCUGAAAGAACUGCCAGUGAUAAGCUGGAGGAAGGUGGGGAUGACGUCAAGUCCUCAUGGCCCUUACGUGUUGGGCUACACACGUGCUACAAUGGUAUCUACAACAGGAAGCAAGACUGCGAAGUUAAGCAAAUCCCUAAAAGAUACCUCAGUUCGGAUUGCACUCUGCAACUCGAGUGCAUGAAGCUGGAAUUACUAGUAAUCGUGGAUCAGCGUGCCACGGUGAAUGCGUUCCCGGGUCUUGUACACACCGCCCGUCACACCAUGGGAGUUGGUUCUACCUUAAGGCAAGGUUUAAAACCCUUGACCACGGUAUAGUCAGCGACUGGGGUGAAGUCGUAACAAGGUAACCGU